UGUGGGAGCGGGCUUGCCCGCGAUGGCGGUGGGUCAGCCAAAUAUCUCUAACCCGGCACUCCGCUAUCGCGGGCAAGCCCGCUCCCACA
This 89-nucleotide unclassified non-coding RNA is filed under the name Pseudomonas gessardii. The record is from RNAcentral. Lineage: Bacteria; Pseudomonadati; Pseudomonadota; Gammaproteobacteria; Pseudomonadales; Pseudomonadaceae.